RNAcentral lists this non-coding RNA (78 nucleotides) under Methylibium sp. NZG. RNAcentral's name for it is "Alpha-proteobacteria SAM riboswitch aptamer". It matches the Rfam family "Alpha-proteobacteria SAM riboswitch aptamer". Rfam says of the family: This family is a riboswitch found predominantly in alpha-proteobacteria that binds S-adenosyl methionine (SAM). This SAM riboswitch is located upstream of the metA and metC genes in Agrobacterium tumefaciens, and other methionine and SAM biosynthesis genes in other alpha-proteobacteria. Lineage: Bacteria; Pseudomonadati; Pseudomonadota; Betaproteobacteria; Burkholderiales; Sphaerotilaceae. RNAcentral also lists the same sequence under 1 other name. The record is from Rfam by way of RNAcentral.
CUCGGCGCCAGCGCUGAUUUGCUCCGGCUUGCGGGCGCUCUACAAAUGCCGCUAAAGACAGGACGCAGACCCGGUGUC